GGAUGUGAGGGCGAUCUGGCUGGGACAUCUGUCAACCCAUUGAUCACCAGGGUUGAUUCAGCUUAUCGGUUGGUCAGGCUGCUGUUGGGUGUCCCCUUCCUUCCUCACUGCUCCAUGUGCAUCCCUCCUGAAGCUACACGCUUGGUCGAAGAGGAUGACCUUCCCUGGUAGAGGAGGAUCCUUCUUCGGUCAAGGAUAUGCAAGUAGCUGCACUCUGCUAGAACCUCCAGACAAGCUGUCAGGGUCUGUUCAUAGGAGAAUGUAGGGUAGUCAAGCUUCCAAGAUUCCAGAUACAUGCAAGUGAGGGACUGCAUGCAGCAGUCUGCCUUAAAAA
This is a non-coding RNA of Equus caballus (horse), 334 nucleotides long. The record is from Rfam. NCBI's taxonomy places the organism in Eukaryota, Metazoa, Chordata, Mammalia, Perissodactyla, Equidae.